This 73-nucleotide transfer RNA is filed under the name Glycomyces albidus. Its description in RNAcentral is "Glycomyces sp. NEAU-7082 tRNA-Phe". It matches the Rfam family "tRNA". From Rfam's summary of the family: Transfer RNA (tRNA) molecules are approximately 80 nucleotides in length. Their secondary structure includes four short double-helical elements and three loops (D, anti-codon, and T loops). Lineage: Bacteria; Bacillati; Actinomycetota; Actinomycetes; Glycomycetales; Glycomycetaceae. The record is from RNAcentral.
GGCCGGCGAGGUCGAAGCACGCGUUCGCCUGAAAAGCGGAAGGUCGCCGGUUCGACCCCGGCCCUGGCCACCA